RNAcentral lists this non-coding RNA (27 nucleotides) under Cricetulus griseus (Chinese hamster). Lineage: Eukaryota; Metazoa; Chordata; Mammalia; Rodentia; Cricetidae. The record is from RNAcentral.
AAGAAGCAGCCUGGGCCAUCACCAAUG